UGACCUCGGAUCAGGUAGGGAUACCCGCUGAA
This 32-nucleotide non-coding RNA is filed under the name Drosophila melanogaster (fruit fly). Lineage: Eukaryota; Metazoa; Arthropoda; Insecta; Diptera; Drosophilidae. RNAcentral also lists the same sequence under 5 other names. The record is from RNAcentral.